RNAcentral lists this transfer RNA (87 nucleotides) under Candidatus Moraniibacteriota bacterium. RNAcentral's name for it is "tRNA-Ser". It matches the Rfam family "tRNA". Rfam says of the family: Transfer RNA (tRNA) molecules are approximately 80 nucleotides in length. Their secondary structure includes four short double-helical elements and three loops (D, anti-codon, and T loops). Further hydrogen bonds mediate the characteristic L-shaped molecular structure. tRNAs have two regions of fundamental functional importance: the anti-codon, which is responsible for specific mRNA codon recognition, and the 3' end, to which the tRNAs corresponding amino acid is attached (by aminoacyl-tRNA synthetases). tRNAs cope with the degeneracy of the genetic code in two manners: having more than one tRNA (with a specific anti-codon) for a particular amino acid; and 'wobble' base-pairing, i.e. permitting non-standard base-pairing at the 3rd anti-codon position. Lineage: Bacteria; Candidatus Moraniibacteriota. The record is from RNAcentral.
GGAGAGAUGGCUGAGUGGUCGAAAGCGGCGGUCUUGAAAACCGCUGUCCUUUCACGAGGACCGGGGGUUCGAAUCCCUCUCUCUCCG